CCCCUUUUCAAACAGGCUCCGCGGCCCUAUAUCAGGAGUGCUGUUUCGACAGCUAUGGCGAUAAACGGGAGAUGCAAUAAACCCAUCGGACCCGGGGGCAGUACCCGGCGCCUCCACCAUGACAGGCCGCGCUUGACGACCUGUGAUGCUGGGGGCGACACAGGAUCGACGAGGGCGUAAAGAUCAACUUUUUGCUCGGCAUGGUUCCGCCGUUAUCGGGCCGUUACAAUAGUUGCAAACGACAACUAUGCGGAAGCACGUCUCGCUGCUUAAUGCGGCGCGACAGCUUCGAAUAAACUCCUGACGGUUCGCACCGUCAGGCGGGGUUCGGAGGCACCUGGCAACAGAAGCCUCCACU
Molecule: transfer-messenger RNA, 358 nt
Filed under: Flavimaribacter sediminis
Lineage: Bacteria; Pseudomonadati; Pseudomonadota; Alphaproteobacteria; Hyphomicrobiales; Rhizobiaceae
Rfam family: Alphaproteobacteria transfer-messenger RNA
About the family: Bacterial tmRNA, also known as 10Sa RNA or SsrA, is named for its dual tRNA and mRNA-like properties. Its role is to liberate the mRNA from a stalled ribosome. To accomplish this part of the tmRNA is used as a reading frame that ends in a translation stop signal.
Source: RNAcentral